GGGGGCGUGGCGGAAUUGGCAUACGCAGCGGACUUAAAAUCCGCCGUCGCAAGACAUGAGGGUUCGAGUCCCUCCGCCCCUACCA
RNAcentral lists this transfer RNA (85 nucleotides) under Coriobacteriales bacterium. RNAcentral describes it as "tRNA-Leu". It matches the Rfam family "tRNA". From Rfam's summary of the family: Transfer RNA (tRNA) molecules are approximately 80 nucleotides in length. Their secondary structure includes four short double-helical elements and three loops (D, anti-codon, and T loops). Further hydrogen bonds mediate the characteristic L-shaped molecular structure. tRNAs have two regions of fundamental functional importance: the anti-codon, which is responsible for specific mRNA codon recognition, and the 3' end, to which the tRNAs corresponding amino acid is attached (by aminoacyl-tRNA synthetases). tRNAs cope with the degeneracy of the genetic code in two manners: having more than one tRNA (with a specific anti-codon) for a particular amino acid; and 'wobble' base-pairing, i.e. permitting non-standard base-pairing at the 3rd anti-codon position. Lineage: Bacteria; Bacillati; Actinomycetota; Coriobacteriia; Coriobacteriales. The record is from RNAcentral.